Molecule: ribosomal RNA, 301 nt
Filed under: uncultured bacterium
Lineage: Bacteria
Description: partial 16S ribosomal RNA
Rfam family: Bacterial small subunit ribosomal RNA
Source: RNAcentral
CAGUCGCCACGGUAAUACGAAGGGUGCAAGCGUUACUCGGAAUUACUGGGCGUAAAGCGUGCGUAGGUGGUGGUUUAAGUCCGUUGUGAAAGCCCUGGGCUUAACCUGGGAAUUGCAGUGGAUACUGGAUCACUAGAGUGUGGUAGAGGAUAGUGGAAUUCCCGGUGUAGCGGUGAAAUGCGUAGAGAUCGGGAGGAACAUCAGUGGCGAAGGCGGCCAUCUGGGACAACACUGACGCUGAGGCACGAAAGCGUGGGGAGCAAACAGGAUUAGAUACCCCCGUAGUCCCUGUCUCUUAUAA